GUGGGGAAUAUUGGACAAUGGGCGAAAGCCUGAUCCAGCCAUGCCGCGUGUGUGAAGAAGGUCUUCGGAUUGUAAAGCACUUUAAGUUGGGAGGAAGGGCAGUAAGUUAAUACCUUGCUGUUUUGACGUUACCGACAGAAUAAGCACCGGCUAACUUCGUGCCAGCAGCCGCGGUAAUACGAAGGGUGCAAGCGUUAAUCGGAAUUACUGGGCGUAAAGCGCGCGUAGGUGGUUUUGUAAGUUGGAGGUGAAAUCCCCGGGCUCAACCUGGGAACUGCCUCCAAAACUGCAUGACUAGAGUACGGUAGAGGGUAGUGGAAUUUCCUGUGUAGCGGUGAAAUGCGUAGAUAUAGUAAGGAACACCAGUGGCGAAGGCGACUACCUGGACUGAUACUGACACUGAGGUGCGAAAGCGUGGGGAGCAAACAGGAUUAGAUACCCCAGUAGUCC
Molecule: ribosomal RNA, 450 nt
Filed under: uncultured bacterium
Lineage: Bacteria
Description: bacterial SSU rRNA
Rfam family: Bacterial small subunit ribosomal RNA
Source: RNAcentral